Molecule: long non-coding RNA, 6491 nt
Filed under: Lynx pardinus (Iberian lynx)
Lineage: Eukaryota; Metazoa; Chordata; Mammalia; Carnivora; Felidae
Source: RNAcentral
GGCUGGCGGCCGGCGUCUCCCUCGCGGCGGGAGAUUUGCGGAGCCCGCGGCCGCGGGGCGAGCGCCAUGGAGCGACUGCGGGACGUGCGGGAGCGGCUGCAGGCUUGGGAGAGCGCGUUCCGGCGGCGGCGCGGGAGGCGGCCGGGCCAGGUGCGGGCUGUCCGGGGACGGGGGUUGAGGAUGCGGCCUCCGGCUGACGCGCUCCCUUCACAGGAGGACGUGGCGGCGGCGCCUGAGGAUACCCGGGGUGAGCCCGCCGACGCGGGGCGGAAGGAGGGGCGCAGGGUGGGUGGGGCGACCGGCGGCCCCCCAGUAACCCUUCACCCCAUCCCCAGCGCUCUACCGGGAGUACCGCGCCCUGAAGGAGGCCCUGAAGGAGGCAGAAGGGGUCGGACCCCGCGGCCCCAAGCAAUCGCUUUCCGUGCAGGCAGAGGAGGUACCCAGGCCUUGACGCCCCAGCCUCCCGGCCAGUCUCCUGCGUGGCAGAGCCCAGAGGAGCCGUGAACGAGCCUGGGUGGGGCACAGAACAUUGGGGGAGGACUGGACAUGGUGGAGGAGGGCCUGGGGGCUGGGGAAGGGAGCUGCGGACAACUUCGCCCCUCGCACCAGCCUUUCUCUGGCUCGGACUCCCACCGCCUCUUCUUGCAGGUGCCAGAACCCAGCUGCUGGGGGCCCCACUUGAAUCGGGCUGCGACCCACAGUCCACAUCCUCCUCUUUCUGGGCCAAGCCGGCCAGGGUCUGUGCGGGACUACGGGGAGAGGCUUAAGGCCAACCUCAAGGGCACCCUGCAGGUGAGAGCUGAGAGCCAGGCAGUCAGUGCAUCCAACCCGUACCCAGAGCUGCUCUCCACUCAGUGACCGGACCCCCAGAUACCCUUUUCUGCUAACCCUUCCACGCACAUGUGCCUGUGCAAACGUGCACACGUACGCUCUUGCAGCACUAAUCAGGCGGAAACUCCUGGGGGGAGUUCAGGUCGGCGGCAGCCUGGAGACCUGAGUUCCUGCUUGUUGGUCUGUUCCCCCGCACCCCCACCAGGCUGGGCCAGCCCUGAGCCGCAUACCCCGGACUCCACGAAGACCCUCGUCCGAGAUGCCCACCCCAAGGCCACCAGGUGCAGGGGCUGCCCUCAUCUCUCCAGAAGAAGUCAGUGAGGUGCCCUUGCAGCCUGCUGGGCCCCAGCUGAGGCCGGGCUGCCUCCAGCAGCUACAGGCAUCCUUGAGCCUGCGACUGGGCUCCCUAGACCCUGGCUGGCUGGAGCGGUGUCACAACGGGGCCCCAGAUUUUCUGGGGGCUUCCAAGGCCUGCCAGCCUAACUUGGGUGUAGAGCAGUCACAGUCUCUGACUUCACGUGUCCCAUCUGUCCCUGGUCCCAGCACUAGGCCUGAGGCUCAAGCCCUACAGACAGCUGGAGUCAGUGCAGGGAGCCCCCAACCUGGCGACAGUCAAGGCAAGAGGUGCACACGGAAUAGGGAGCCAGAGGGGAGCCCUGCACAGGCCCAGCAAGACAGUGGCCAAAUAGGACCCCUGCCUGAGGAAGCUGGGACUGCAGAACAUGCAGAAGACCCUUCGGGAAAACCCCUGUGGGCACAGCGCCCCAGUGGCGCCACAGCCUCCAGGUACCACAGCUUCAGCCUCCCGGUAGGGUCACCUUAAGUCGAGCCAGGUCGGGGCAGGCUUGGGGCACGGCCCACUUGUACAUCCUUCUAGAGUAACUGUGCGGAACGGAGGUAAUUACGUGCGGCUCAACAUGAAGCAGAAACGCUACGUGCGGGGCCCGGCUCUCCGUGGAAGGCUCCUCCGCAAGCAGGUGAGGUGCUGGCAGGCACUCCCUUCACCCCUACUGCCUCCUGCCACGUGACCCUCUCUUAUGGCCCCCAGAUGUGGAAGCAGAAGUGGCAGAAGAAAGGGGAGCAUUUUGUAGGUGGUCGGCCCAGAGCCACGCUCAAGAAUUCUUGCUUCCGGUGUGGGCAGCUAGGCCACUGGUCAUCCCAGUGCCCCCAACCAGGUGAGACCUCUGCUCUGGUGGUGGGCCGGGCUGAGGUUUUUGGAGAGGACUUGUACUCUUGGCGGGGGAGCACCUGUAGCUCAAGUAAAAGAUUCUAUCUGCUUCUUCUACCUAACCUAGAGCAUACCCCAGCCCCCCAGAAGAAAGGUGGUGAGAAUGAAGACGACACACAGACCCUGCUCACUUUGGAGGAAGUAGUCCAGAGGACAGGCAGUGCCAGCUGCCGACUCCCUGGUGAAUGAAGGGGUGGAGGGCAGGUUGUAGCUAGGUGUGUUUUUGCUAGAAUGACCCCAGCCCAGCCUGGAGUUCCCACACCACCCUUUUCCAUCUGUUUCUAGUGAGUGAGAAAGAUCCGGAGCCUGCUGGGCCUGAGCUGUUGGUCACCGUGGAACAGCCUGGGCCCCGGGUGCCCUGCCUGCCCCCUACCGUGCCACCACUUUACCCACCAGGGCCCUCUGGGCAAGUGGCAGGUGAGCAGAUGCUUUUCAGCUGAGAGCCUUUACUGGGGGAUGGGGGCAACUUGAGGCCAUGCUGACCAACACCUGUGUCCCCAGAGACGCCAGCUGAGGUAUUCCAGGCCCUGGAGCAGCUAGGGCACCGUGCCUUCCGCCCCGGACAGGAGCGUGCGGUCAUGCGGAUCCUCUCUGGUGAGCUUGGCUGUUGGGGGAUGGGACAGGGCCAAGGCCCGGCCACAGGAUAGCACACUGACCCUUGUUCCCACCAGGCAUAUCCACGCUGCUGGUGUCGCCCACCGGUGCUGGCAAGUCCUUGUGCUACCAGCUCCCCGCGCUGCUUUAUGCCCGGCGGAGCCCCUGCCUCACACUGGUCAUCUCUCCCCUCCUGUCUCUCAUGGACGACCAGGUGCGCAGACGGGACCCCUCCAGCACAUGCAGAAGGCAGGAACCAGUGCCCACGGCUCUUCCGACCCUUUGGGGCUGCUGUCAGUUACUUGGCCGGAGCUGUAGAGAGCUCAGCUAUUCUCAGCCUGCCAGCUCUGUCCACAGUCCCCGGCCUGGCAAUGGUCCAAGGGCAGCAGGGACACAGCUGGCCAGACCUGAGUCCACCCCCAAGAGGAGCAGCUCUAGGGAGGGAGGACGUCCCCAGUGGGGCCUGUCUGCUCUUGGCACUCCUGAACCAAGGCUCACAGGGGGCUCUGAAUCCUUAGUCACAGGAUCUACGAGCUGGGACUUUUCUCCCUAGGGAGCCCAGGUUGAAGAUGGCAACAGCUGUCAGGCCAAGCACCACUGAGCGCUGUUUGAGGAAGAGCAGGGGAAGGGUGGCUUGCAACUGGUUGUCCUUUUGUACCCACAGGUGUCUGGCCUGCCCCCAUGCCUGAAGGCAGCCUGCAUCCAUUCAGGCAUGACCAGGAAGGAGCGGGACUCUGCCCUGAAAAAGGUGAGGGAGGGGCCUUACACAGCAAGAUGGGUAGGGACAGAAGGCAGGCCCUCGAUGAUGCUCCUGACCUUGCCGUCCUCAGGUUCAGGCGGCCCAGGUGCACGUUCUGAUGCUGUCACCCGAGGCACUGGUUGGGGCUGCGGCAGGGACCCCUGGCUCCCUCCCUCAGCUGCCUCCCGUUGCCUUUGCCUGUGUCGACGAGGCCCACUGCCUGUCCCAAUGGUCCCACAACUUCCGGCCCUGCUACCUGCGUGUCUGCAAGGUGAGCCUUCUUUGGGGUACAAGCGAAGGGGCAAGGCAGGGUGGGUGGGGCACCUUCACUGGCUCCUCUCCCACACAGGUGCUGCGGGAACACAUGGGUGUCCGCUGCUUUCUGGGUCUUACGGCCACGGCUACGCACAGCACCUCAAGAGACAUGGCUCAGCAUCUAGGCGUGGCUGAGGAGCAUGUCCUCAGAGGGCCAGUCACCAUCCCCACCAACCUGUACCUCUCUGUGUCCACGGACAGGAACCCAGACCAGGUGAGUGGACACACCGGGGCCUGGCAGAGGCACUGCCUCUGACAGCCCGUGCUGACCGCUGUCGCCCACCAGGCUUUGGUGACACUGCUGCAGAGUGAUCGUUUUCGCGACCUGAACUCUGUCAUCGUCUACUGCAACAGACGCGAAGACACGGAGCGCAUUGCUGCGCUGCUCCGCACCUGCCUGUGUGAGGCCUGGGACCUGGGGCCUAGAGGGGAGGUCAGCAGGGCUGUGCCCCACGGACCUGCCACAGGAACACGUUCUACCCAACUGUCUGUGUCUUCUCUGCAGGCCAGGCCCCGGAAGCUGUGGCCGAAGCCUACCACGCCGGCAUGUGUGCCCGGGAGCGGCGGCGGGUGCAGCAGGCCUUCAUGGAGGGCCGGCUGCGGGUGGUGGUGGCCACAGUGGCCUUCGGGAUGGGGCUGGACCGGCCAGAUGUGCGGGCCGUGCUGCACCUGGGGCUGCCCCCCAGCUUUGAGAGCUACGUGCAGGCUGUGGGCCGGGCUGGACGGGACGGCCAGCCCGCACACUGCCACCUCUUUCUACAGCCCCAGGUUCUUACUUGCCCCACUUGAGCUCCCCCCACCCCACCCCACCCCACCGCCCCACGUUUACAGCUAUUCUUUCGCAGGGUCAGGACCUGCGGGAGUUGCGUAGACACGUGCAUGCCGAGGCCUCCGACUUCCUUGCCGUGAAGAAGCUGGUACAGUGCUCGUUCCCACCCUGCACCUGCACCCAUGCCCAACAGCCCCCAGAGCAGGAGGGAGCCAAGAGCCAAGAGAGGCCUGUGACCGUGUCCCCGAGCGAGGCCGAGCAAGCCAGCAACAAAGGCCUAGCCCAGUGCCUGGGUCAUGAGCGGGCACUCCCAGUGCAGCCGCUGGUGCAGGCCCUGGACAUGCCUGAGGAGGGUGAGGAACCGGGGGCAGGAGUGGGUACCUCCCCGCAUCCCCACGUCCCUGUGUCCCCUAAGCCCUGCUCUGCCUCCAGCCAUUGAGACGCUGCUGUGCUACCUGGAGCUACACCCACGGCGCUGGCUGGAGCUGCUGGCACCCACCUAUGCCUACUGCCACCUGCGCUGCCCUGGGGGCCUCCCCCAGCUCCAGGCCCUGGCCCGCAGGUGAGCACACAUCCCACCCCAGGCUGGGGCCAGGGACACAGGACCAGGGCUGCUAAUCACAUAUCCCUUUCCCUGGGACAGGUGUCCUCCACUGGCGGUCUGGUUAGCCCAGCAGCCACAGGAAAACAUAGGCGAAGGAAGCUAUUCCGUAGAGUUUGACGUGGUUAAGUUGGCCGACUCGAUGGGCUGGAAGCUCGCCCCUGCAAAGCAGGCUCUCCGUCAACUGCAGUGGUACCCAGAGCCCAGCACAGGUGAGCCCUGCCCCCAACCCUGCUUGGACCCAGCCCUGCUUGCCGCCCUCCUGCCUGUGUCUCACAAGCUCUCUGGCAGGUGCACAUCGGGACACAGGGGUGCUGGUGGAGUUCCGGGAGCUCGCCUUCUGUCUGCACAGCCCCGGAGACCUGACAGCCCACGAGAAGGACCAGAUCUGUGACUUCCUAUAUGAACGUGUACAAACCCGCGAGCAGGAGGCCCUGGCACGCCUGCGACGCACCUUCCAGGCCUUUCACAGGUGCAGGAGAGGUGGGCGGGGCCUGAGGCCACCCCCGCUUCCCCCUCUGGUGAACCGCGCUGACAGAUUCCUCUCACCCCAGUGUAGCCUUCCCCAGCUGCGGGCCCUGCUUGGAGCAGCCUGAUGAGGAGCACAGUGCCAGGCUCAAGGCUCUGCUCAGCGGCUACUUCGAGGAAGAGGGGCCAGGAGGCAUGGAAGACGAGCAGGGCCCAGAGCCAGGACAGGCCAGGGUGAGUGCCAGCCCCUCCUGGGGGGUUGAAGAGAGGACACAGGCCUGCGGUGAGGUCAGGCAGCAAAGUGCGUGCACACGCUUACACACUCUGUCUCCUGCCUUGCACCACGGUGGGCUGUGUGGAACUUGGUGCUGUGGAAGCGUGGGCUGGCCUUACGUGCCUGCCACCCACAGAUCCAGGACUGGGAGGACCAGAUACGCCAGGACAUCCGCCAUCUCCUGUCCUCGUGGCCAGACCAGCAGUUCUCGGGCAGGGCUGUGGCCCGUAUCUUCCACGGCAUUGGUGAGGGCCUGGGAGGCUGGGUUCGGACAUGGGCAGGGGCCAGGUCUGGCCCAGAGUCCUCAGGGCUGUGUCUGCCACUCCACCACAGGAAGCCCCUGCUAUCCGGCCCAGGUGUACGGGCGGGACCGGCGUUUCUGGAGAAAACACCUGCAUCUGAGCUUCCGUGCCCUGAUGCGUUUAGCUACAGAGGAGAUCCUGCUGUGGGGCCACUGACCACCCUGCCGCAGGCCAGCCCUGCUCCCCCACGUCACACACAGGGGGCUGUGUGGCCACCGUGCCGAGGGAGCCAGGUGUGGCAGUUUAUCAGGGAAAAGAGAAGGGACAUUUGUGGCCAAGACAGUGACCGACUACCUGGGCGAAGCCCACCACCAGAAGCGGGACGAAGAGGCCCCAAAACGCGGAAUAAAAAAUGCUCAAGUCAUUCUUA